Molecule: ribosomal RNA, 467 nt
Filed under: uncultured bacterium
Lineage: Bacteria
Description: bacterial SSU rRNA
Rfam family: Bacterial small subunit ribosomal RNA
Source: RNAcentral
GACGACGCUGGCGGCGUGCUUAAACACAUGCAAGUCGAACGGUGACGAGGAGCUUGCUCCUCUGAUCAGUGCGAACGGGUGAGUAACACGUGAGCAACCUGCCCCAGACUCUGGGAUAACAGUUGGAAACAGCUGCUAAUACCGGAUACGAGACGGAGAGGCAUCUCUACCGUCUGGAAAGUUUUUCGGUCUGGGAUGGACUCGCGGCCUAUCAGCUAGUUGGUGAGGUAAUGGCUCACCAAGGCGACGACGGGUAGCCGGCCUGAGAGGGCGACCGGCCACACUGGGACUGAGACACGGCCCAGACUCCUACGGGAGGCAGCAGUGGGGAAUAUUGCACAAUGGGCGAAAGCCUGAUGCAGCGACGCCUCGUGAGGGAUUUGACGGCCUUCGGGUUGUAAACCUCUUUCAGCAGGGAAGAAGCGAAAGUGACGGUACCUGCAGAAGAAGCACCGGCUAACUACGUG